CAGUCGCCGCGGGAAUACGUAGGUGGCAAGCGUUGUCUGGAAUUAUUGGGCGCAAAGGGCUCGCAGGCGGUUUCUUAAGUCUGAUGUGAAAGCCCCCGGCUCAACCGGGGAGGGUCAUUGGAAACUGGGAAACUUGAGUGCGGAAGAGGAGAGUGGAAUUCCACGUGUAGCGGUGAAAUGCGUAGAGAUGUGGAGGAGCACCAGUGGCGAAGGCGACACUCUGGUCUGUAACUGACGCUGAGGAGCGAAAGCGUGGGGAGCGAACAGGAUUAGAUACCCCCGUAGUCCCUGUCUCUUAUAC
This 301-nucleotide ribosomal RNA is filed under the name uncultured bacterium. RNAcentral describes it as "partial 16S ribosomal RNA". It matches the Rfam family "Bacterial small subunit ribosomal RNA", at positions 509 to 807 of the family's 1533-position model. The record is from RNAcentral.